Molecule: ribosomal RNA, 513 nt
Filed under: uncultured bacterium
Lineage: Bacteria
Description: partial 16S ribosomal RNA
Rfam family: Bacterial small subunit ribosomal RNA
Source: RNAcentral
GAUGAACGCUGGCGGCGUGCCUAAUACAUGCAAGUCGAACGCACAGCGAAAGGUGCUUGCACCUUUCAAGUGAGUGGCGAACGGGUGAGUAACACGUGGACAACCUGCCUCAAGGCUGGGGAUAACAUUUGGAAACAGAUGCUAAUACCGAAUAAAACUUAGUGUCGCAUGACACAAAGUUAAAAGGCGCUUCGGCGUCACCUAGAGAUGGAUCCGCGGUGCAUUAGUUAGUUGGUGGGGUAAAGGCCUACCAAGACAAUGAUGCAUAGCCGAGUGGAGAGACUGAUCGGCCACAUUGGAACUGAGACACGGCCCAAACUCCUACGGGAGGCUGCAGUAGGGAAUCUUCCACAAUGGGCGAAAGCCUGAUGGAGCAACGCCGCGUGUGUGAUGAAGGCUUUCGGGUCGUAAAGCACUGUUGUAUGGGAAGAACAGCUAGAAUAGGAAAUGAUUUUAGUUCGACGGUACCAUACCAGAAAGGGACGGCUAAAUACGUGCCAGCCGCCGCCGUAA